This 439-nucleotide ribosomal RNA is filed under the name uncultured bacterium. RNAcentral's name for it is "partial 16S ribosomal RNA". It matches the Rfam family "Bacterial small subunit ribosomal RNA", at positions 338 to 795 of the family's 1533-position model. The record is from RNAcentral.
CCUAGGGAGGCUGCAGUGGGGAAUACUGCACAAUGGGGGAAACCCUGAUGCAGCGACGCCGCGUGAGUGAAGAAGUAUUUCGGUACGUAAAGCUCUAUCAGCAGGGAAGAAAAUGACGGUACCUGACUAAGAAGCCCCGGCUAAAUACGUGCCAGCAGCCGCGGUCAUGCGUAGGGAGCAAGCGUUAUCCGGAUUGACUGGGUUUAAAGGGAGCGUUGGUGGGAGCGAAAGUCUGGAGUGCAAUCGCAUGGCUUAACCAUGGAACUGCUUUGGAAACCGUGCAGCUGGAGUGCAGGAGAGGUAAGCGGAAUUCCUAGUGUAGCGGUGAAAUGCGUAGAUAUUAGGAAGAACACCAGUAGCGAAGGCGGCUUACUGGACUGUAACUGACGUUGAGGCUCGAAAGCGUGGGGAGCAAACAGGAUUAGAUACCCGAGUAGUC